Leersia perrieri is the source of this 140-nucleotide small nucleolar RNA. It matches the Rfam family "Small nucleolar RNA Z247". Rfam says of the family: Z247 is a member of the C/D class of snoRNA which contain the C (UGAUGA) and D (CUGA) box motifs. Most of the members of the box C/D family function in directing site-specific 2'-O-methylation of substrate RNAs. Lineage: Eukaryota; Viridiplantae; Streptophyta; Magnoliopsida; Poales; Poaceae. The record is from Rfam.
ACAUUCAAAUGAUGAAGAUCUGAUGUCUUAUGUUAUAGCUGGUUUAGAUGAUGAUUUUGAACCUGAUGAAUCAUCUCUUGUUGGGAGGACGGAACCUAUACCAUUCUCUGAAUGUUACUCACAACUUUUGAGAUUUGAAU